UGUCAAGACAACAGUUCGUAAUUGUACCAGCUCUUUCCAUUGCAGCUAGACAUUUCAUAAAUAGAUAAUUCUCUAAUUGAUCCAGCCAAUCCUACUUUGCAUACCCUGCCAAACUAGCACAGGCUCUUUACUGCAGUCCUGAUUUCUGUAUUAAUGAAUUGAGAAGAUGACAUCAGGCUCUUAGGCAUCCACAUUUGGAAGCAAUGACCUGUGUAGGAAACAAUUUCUGUGGUGAAACUGGAAACCAGGAUCGGACUUAAUAACUAUUCAUCAAGCAGGUAAACCACAUUCC
This 292-nucleotide long non-coding RNA is filed under the name Parus major (Great Tit). RNAcentral describes it as "lncRNA (ENSPMJG00000010299.1)". Lineage: Eukaryota; Metazoa; Chordata; Aves; Passeriformes; Paridae. The record is from RNAcentral.